GACUGCGAUCACAUCAGAUUGUGAAAAUACCUUUUCUCAUUUGAUCAUCUAAGUUAAGCAACGUCGGGCCCAGUUAUUACUUGUAUGGUUGGCCAACUGGAAGUACUGGAAGUUGCAGCUG
RNAcentral lists this ribosomal RNA (121 nucleotides) under Echinostoma caproni. The record is from RNAcentral. Lineage: Eukaryota; Metazoa; Platyhelminthes; Trematoda; Plagiorchiida; Echinostomatidae.